This 830-nucleotide ribosomal RNA is filed under the name Staphylococcus sp. HMSC058E01. RNAcentral describes it as "bacterial LSU rRNA". It matches the Rfam family "Bacterial large subunit ribosomal RNA", at positions 19 to 846 of the family's 2925-position model. The record is from RNAcentral. Lineage: Bacteria; Bacillati; Bacillota; Bacilli; Caryophanales; Staphylococcaceae.
GCACGGUGGAUGCCUUGGCACUAGAAGCCGAUGAAGGACGUUACUAACGACGAUAUGCUUUGGGGAGCUGUAAGUAAGCUUUGAUCCAGAGAUUUCCGAAUGGGGAAACCCAGCAUGAGUUAUGUCAUGUUAUCGAUAUGUGAAUACAUAGCAUAUCAGAAGGCACACCCGGAGAACUGAAACAUCUUAGUACCCGGAGGAAGAGAAAGAAAAUUCGAUUCCCUUAGUAGCGGCGAGCGAAACGGGAAGAGCCCAAACCAACAAGCUUGCUUGUUGGGGUUGUAGGACACUCUAUACGGAGUUACAAAGGACGACAUUAGACGAAUCAUCUGGAAAGAUGAAUCAAAGAAGGUAAUAAUCCUGUAGUCGAAAAUGUUGUCUCUCUUGAGUGGAUCCUGAGUACGACGGAGCACGUGAAAUUCCGUCGGAAUCUGGGAGGACCAUCUCCUAAGGCUAAAUACUCUCUAGUGACCGAUAGUGAACCAGUACCGUGAGGGAAAGGUGAAAAGCACCCCGGAAGGGGAGUGAAAUAGAACCUGAAACCGUGUGCUUACAAGUAGUCAGAGCCCGUUAAUGGGUGAUGGCGUGCCUUUUGUAGAAUGAACCGGCGAGUUACGAUUUGAUGCAAGGUUAAGCAGUAAAUGUGGAGCCGUAGCGAAAGCGAGUCUGAAUAGGGCGUUUAGUAUUUGGUCGUAGACCCGAAACCAGGUGAUCUACCCUUGGUCAGGUUGAAGUUCAGGUAACACUGAAUGGAGGACCGAACCGACUUACGUUGAAAAGUGAGCGGAUGAACUGAGGGUAGCGGAGAAAUUCCAAUCGAACCUGGAGAU